This 4447-nucleotide long non-coding RNA is filed under the name Eutrema salsugineum. RNAcentral's name for it is "long non-coding RNA (ESAL_LNC000027)". The record is from RNAcentral. Lineage: Eukaryota; Viridiplantae; Streptophyta; Magnoliopsida; Brassicales; Brassicaceae.
UUCAGGUUAAAUCUGGUUUCAUUCCCUUGUUAUGGUAGUUUGUUCUAAUGUGACUGAUUUGAAGGAGUUAACUAUUUGCCCAUACAGAGAGCCAAAACAGCUAGCGAGAGUGAUCCUCUAGCAAGAACUGAACCUCAAAAGCUAAACGAAAAUGUAAAGGAAUACGAUGAUGUUGCCUCUACAUCACCAAAAUCCAAUGAAGCGUCUCACUCUACCUCUGGUUCUCAGGUGUCUAAUAAAACCUUUUUCUCAUCUUUGAUUUUUCCAUUUGACCCCAAAAUCAUGUCUCUCCAUCUUCAACAGUGGAGAAGAACAUAUUACAACAUUUAUGCUUAAAAACACACUGAUUCAGUCAUAGUCGCUUAAACAAUUUAUCUUGAUACAGGAACUUUUAACUCUUCUCUACUGCAUAUUAUAAAUUGUUUUCUUCGUUUGGGCAACCACAGGAACCAAAAAGCCCCUACGUGGAAGAACCAAAACUCGGGGAGCAACAGUUCAACUAUUAUUUCCCAAGACCCGCACCACCACCUGGCGUAGAGAAACACACUUCGACUGGCUAUGAUUGAUUGAGAAUCGGAGGUAUCUGUUCUUGUUGCUUACUCAAAACCCUUUGGUAUAUAGUAGUAUAUACAGCAGUCUUAGUAAAUUAAUAAUAUUGCAGUUGCGUGCCGUUAAUGUAAAAAUUAUUCUUUUUUCUUUGGUUUUGGUGAAUUUAAUGUGAAUUCGUCUUGUUAGAAGAAAACGAUUGGUGUUGAAAGCACAUGAAAGAGCUCUUUUUUUUUUGUGAUCAUGUGUUAUUUGCGACACAUUCCGUUGAAAUGAUUGUGAACUGCAUAAUGAAUCCAAAUUGCAACAAAUGACAAUGGCCAUGGAAAUGCUUUUUACACAUAACUUAGCAGCUUCAAUGACUAAGCUCUUUAUUCAAGAAAAGGGUAAUCCGUGUAACCCACAACAGGAUCAGAAGUGUAAAAUGUUGGCCUAUCGUAUUUAUUGAGCGGAGCAUCCACUUGGAACUUCUUAGGAAGAUCAGGAUUCGCCAAAAACAAUCCAUCGUAGGCCACGAGAUCGGUCCGUCCUUUUGUCACAGCCUACUAAGAAUGCCGAGUCCAUCAAAAUUGAAGAGAAAUAUAUCUCAACGUAGAGCCAUUUGGAGCCUGUCACGGAAACUGUUAAAACCGAAGCAGCUGAAGUGAAGCUGCUCUCACAAGAUUCACAACCGCAAAGAAAGAGGGAAGUCAAAAGAAUGUCGCUAAGAAGCACGUUGACAUAGCAAAUGUAUUUUUCAUACAUAGCCACAUUUUACCACACCCAUACACAGGGCCGGCCCUGACCUAAAGCCCAUGAAGCAAGGGUUUUAGGCGCCAAAUUAUAUAUCAAAUUUAAGGGCAUCAUUUUUAACAAAUUUUCUUUUAGUGUAGUGAUUUGACCAAUAUUUUUGCUUCCUUAAUGUCUGGAGUUCAAACUCCUAUGUCUGCAUUUUAUUUUUUCAGUUUUUUAACUUGCCUUCUUUUUUUAUUUGAUGGGCAUCAUUUUGAAGUUGAGCUUUACGUGUACAAGGAGUUUGGGCCGGCCCUGCUCAUACAUAUAGACUUCUCUCUAACUACUCUUCCUAACUCUCAUCAUUGUUGCACCUUAACUCUAACACAUAGACCAACUUACACAAACUAUACUAACUUAGACUCUAACAACUUACCUUUUAGGACUUUAACUACUAUUCUAGACUUAAUCAUCACAAAGCGCACACACAUACACAAACUCCUCUUUUAUUCGUUUGGGCUAACAUAUGAAGCCCAACUUUUUUCGUUGACUCUUCUCUCCCUUUGACUUUUCUCUUCUUCUUCUUCCUUUCCAAAAACACGAUCAGCUUCUUUUUCAGUUCUUCAUCUGAUUGUUUAUUGCUAGUUGAUGCUUCUUGUCCUUCUUUUUCUUUUGCAGGGAUACUCAAAGGAGACUCUCAAGAAAUUUCCAAAUAAAAUGAUAGUGGCUUAUUAUAUGUCAUCGAUUCCUUUUUUGGUUGACAUGGAUCCUUCAACUCUAAGAUUUAUCAAGACUUGGAAUGAUUCUUUGUAAAAAAAUGAAAAAUUUAAUGAGAGAGCUAACGAAACCACCGCGUGGAGAAGAAUGUAUAUAUAUCCUUUUUUUGUCCUGGCCGAUUCAAACAAAAACGUAAUACCUUCAAGAAAAGUAAAAGACUUUCUUUCUUCUUCUUUGAUCCGACCAGCACUUUGUCUAAGUUUGCUGUUUCCAUCUCCGGCGAUCUGAGUUUGUGAGAUUCGGUGUGUAGGAUUUUGAUUUGUGGUCAGAAGAUUAGAUGGUGAAGGAAACGGAGUACUACGAUGUGCUCGGCGUUAGCCCAGCUGCUACAGAGGCUGAGAUCAAGAAAGCUUACUAUAUCAAGGUUUUAUUUUAUCUUUCUCUUCUGUGUUCCAGAUUUUGAUUUCAGGGUUUCAAUUUUUGGUUAUCAUAAAUCGGGGAAGAGACCUUGAAUUUUUUGACAAAGUUAUGUUUUUUGAGAACUAGUCUAUGUAGUGAGGUUAUAACUUUGUUAAAAAUCUGCCCAUUUCCAGUUUGAAAUUUAGAGUGAACAAGUAUAGUGAUUGUUGACUUGUUUGUUUAUUAUACACAGGCACGCCAAGUUCAUCCAGAUAAAAACCCAAAUGAUCCUCAAGCUGCACACAAUUUUCAGGCAAGUUCAAAAUUUAGGUGAUAAAGUUUUGUAUUGUAACUUUGUGCGGUAUGCUUGUGUAUUGUAACAUAGAGGAUUCCUUAUUCAGGUGUUGGGAGAGGCCUAUCAAGUGCUAAGUGAUUCAGCGCAACGCCAAGCUUAUGAUGCAUGUGGCAAAGCAGGGAUCUCACUGUUAGUCUCUUUUUUCUUGUGGAGUAUAGUCUAGUGACAUGGAUCUUUCUCGGUGCAGAAAGUUUUGGGUCCUUACUUUUUUUCUCGCCAUCCUUUCAGUGUUACAAUAAUCAAUCCUGCGGCAAUAUUUGCAAUGCUUUUUGGUAGCGAACUUUUUGAAGGAUACAUAGGACAUCUUGCUAUGGCGUCAAUGACUAAAUUUGAUCUCUUCGGUGAAAGAGAUCGGUUUGAUACCAAAAAAUAUCUAGAAAAAAUGAGGGUAGGUCUUGGAAUUAUUAAUUAACGUGUUCUCCUGCUUGAGCCAAUUCUUCAUUGUACAAAAUAUGCUAAGAUUGUGGAUUGUUUUUGGGUUCAGACUGUCCAGAAAGAAAGGGUAGACAAGCUUGCUCAGAUUCUCAAAGACCGCCUUAACGAAUAUGUGGUAAACAAAGACGAAUUUGUUUGUAAUGCUGAAGCUGAAAUGGUAAGACUCUCAAAUGCAGGUAAUAUAUGUAUUCUACACACCGUUUCCUGUUUCUUUGUGUUAUGCAUUAUCUUUCAAUUAAAUACCAUCGCUGUGCUAAAAUGAGUCUCACCUCCUCCUAUUUGUAUCUUCUUCAGCGUAUGGUGUGGAAUUGUUGAAUACAAUUGGGUAUAUAUAUGAAAGACAAGCAGCAAAAGAGCUUGGGAAGGAAGCUAUUUAUCUCGGAGUACCAUUCAUUGCUGAAUGGUGUAGGAACAGAGGUCACUUAAUCAAAUCUCAGCUAAGUGCUGCAACAGGUUAGUGGCUUUGUAAAAAGGUCAAGUAAUGAAAGUUCUUGCAAAACAAGACAUGUUGUGAUUUAUAGAAUCUGGUCUGGUCUGGCUUUGUGACUUAAUUAAGAAAAUUCUUGCUGAAUUUCUCGAAUCUGGUCUUCUCUCUUAGCAAGCAAGACAUGUUGUGAUUUAUUUAUUUUUCCUGGCUGUUUACUGUCAUCCUAGGAGCAUUCGCUUUCCUCCAGCUGCAAAGGGAAAUGAUAAGACAGCUAAGUGCUGGAGUAAAUUUUACCCAAGGGGAACUUGAGGAAUACCUUCAGUCCCAUAAAGGGAUUAUUGAUUCUCUGUGGAAGCUCAAUGUUGCUGAUAUCGAAGCCAUUCUUUCCCGUGUUUGUCAGCUGGUAUGUCUAGCUUAACCAAUACUCAUGUUCACUCUAUCUGUCAUCUUGGUUCAAUUUCUUUAAGUUUUCUAAACCUAUCUAUGAUUCUCAUUGUAUAGGUUCUUCAAGAUCCAGAAGCCAAAAGAGAGGAGCUUCGUGCAAGAGCAAGAGGGUUACAAACUCUGGGGAGGAUCUUUCAGGUUAAAUCUGGUUUCAUUCCCUUGUUAUGGUCUAGCGCAUAUUUUGUUCUAAUGUGACUGAUUUAAGGGAUUUCAAUUUUCUCUCAUACAGAGAGCCAAAACAGCUAGUGAGAGUGAUCCUCUAACAAGAACUGAACCUCAAAAGUUAAACGAAAUUGAAAAGGAGUACGAUGAUGUUGCCUCUACAUCACCAAAAUCCAAUGAAGGGGGGUCACACGUUCUUACUUGGAAAGAGCUGUCUCAUUUAGGCCUACACGUUGUUGGACACGUAGGCC